RNAcentral lists this transfer RNA (93 nucleotides) under Bacillota bacterium. RNAcentral describes it as "tRNA-Ser". It matches the Rfam family "tRNA". From Rfam's summary of the family: Transfer RNA (tRNA) molecules are approximately 80 nucleotides in length. Their secondary structure includes four short double-helical elements and three loops (D, anti-codon, and T loops). The record is from RNAcentral. Lineage: Bacteria; Bacillati; Bacillota.
GGAGAUUUACCCAAGUCUGGCUGAAGGGACUGGUCUUGAAAACCAGUAGAGGAUUAACGUCCUGCGGGGGUUCGAAUCCCUCAAUCUCCGCCA